Molecule: non-coding RNA, 1705 nt
Organism: Elaeis guineensis (African oil palm)
Lineage: Eukaryota; Viridiplantae; Streptophyta; Magnoliopsida; Arecales; Arecaceae
Source: RefSeq, a predicted model, not a curated record
GUGAAUAAAGGGGGUCUCCCCUCGAGCUAUCUUCAUCAUCGAUAGGUAAUUCCCCUGGGUCAGCUUCACAAUCGAGGAGCUUCACUAUGGAUCCAAACAGCCCUUGGUCCCAGAUAGUCCAAGGAUAGAGGAGAUUUAGGUGGGAGAUGGCUAGAGCCAGUAAUGCAAAAAUUGAAUAACUAGAGUAGAGGUUUAUCAAGGUGAUCAAAUUCUCGGAGGAAAUCCAACCAUCAUCAAAGCAUAUGUGUUCAACCUUGAUAGGUAUCCAUUACAGGCUGAUGCUCAUGGAGUUUGCUACACUAGAUAAUCCCUAAUUUCUUAAUUUGGAUAUCUGCUGGCAUCUUCUCUUGGUCACCUUUAUCAUCGCUUCGGUUCUCAUGAAUGCUUGGGCUAUAUCACAAGACGGCCCCCCCUAACAUGCAUGCUCUUCUUGGAUGACAGAGCUUGCUUGUUUUUCUGAUGCCUGGCCAUAACCAAGUUCAACGCAAGAUCCUACAGCUACUUUAUAUGCCUUGGACAAGUUAGUCAUGCUCAGAGGAAUUACACAAUAUCUAAAUUCUGGUUACAAGAGAAUGUUUCAAAAUGGAAUAUUAGUUAUACAUCAUAGACAAUGUUUUCCAGCUAACUCAAGAGGAGUUUCUCAUGUCUUAAUUCUGAUGGAGCAACAAAAUCUGAUUACUGGGAAAGAGGUGGAUGGAGGUCAUUUUCUAGACUUGGUAUUCUUCUGUCUUCAAGGGUUACUUUGGGUUUGCUUCCUUUGUCGGUUCAAGCUACUCCACUUUGUUUCUGUCGGUCCAACAGCAAUGUGUGUAACUCAGAUACGGUGUGGAGGAAGAGGGUUCCAAGAGUCAAAGCACUGCAUGCUGUGAAACUAGCCACGUCAAAACUCAUCCCACCUCGAAGAAGGCGGCCUAUUUCAGCUCCCUCUGUACCUUUGGAUGAACAGGCUAUCCCUGGUGACUCGGCCAAGAUUGAUAUCUCGGAGCUUGCAACAGGUGGACUGUUACUUCAUUCCUUUGACUCACAGGCUAUCCUGGAUUGGGCUAAAAAAUCAGGAGUGAAGUUUCAAGACGCGGAUUCCAGAAAAAUUUUGGCGAUGCUUAGGAGCUUGGAAGAGAGCCUGAAUUAAAUGGUCCCUUCAACUCAUGGGUACUCGUUGCUCGAUAUUUGGUCAUGACAUUGUUAACUUGGAACAUUAGAGGGCUUGGUGAAAGACCUAAAAGAAGAAUUGUUAAAGACUUCCUGGACAUGAAUCAUUGUGGUGUUAUCGGUUUGCGGAAGACCAAGCUUGAGAAUCCUUCGACAGUCUUGUUAAAAUCGAUCUCAGGGGGAAAAAUCAGUAGAUGGUUACUUUGCAAUGCUGUGGGGUCUGCUGGAGGCAUCUUUGUGGGAUGGGAUGGAGCCAAGUUUGAUCUCAUUAAAGACCGAAUCGAAAAAUUCUCUAUAACUACUCACUGGUUUGAUAGGUCUCGGGACUUUGCUUGGUCUUUUACCUGUGUAUAUGGUCCUACAGAUCGCAAUCUCAAGAAGAGCUUCUGGAAAGAAUUGACUGAAAUACAUUCAUCCCUGAAUGGACCAUGGAUUCUGGGUGGAGAUUUUAAUGCAACUGUUGAGGAUCAUGAUAGGAACAACCCUGAGCAUCGAAAGUGUUCCAAGGCAUUUCGAGCUUUAAUCAGAACUGCACAUCUGGUAGAUCUACCUCUAA